This 20-nucleotide transfer RNA is filed under the name Equus caballus (horse). Its description in RNAcentral is "partial transfer RNA-Thr". Lineage: Eukaryota; Metazoa; Chordata; Mammalia; Perissodactyla; Equidae. The record is from RNAcentral.
AUUCCUUGGGAGAAAACGUU